RNAcentral lists this ribosomal RNA (449 nucleotides) under uncultured bacterium. Its description in RNAcentral is "partial 16S ribosomal RNA". It matches the Rfam family "Bacterial small subunit ribosomal RNA", at positions 29 to 523 of the family's 1533-position model. The record is from RNAcentral.
AACGAACGCUGGCGGCAUGCCUAACACAUGCAAGUCGAACGAAGCCUUCGGGCUUAGUGGCGCACGGGUGCGUAACGCGUGGGGAUCUGCCCUUUGCUUCGGAAUAACAGUUAGAAAUGACUGCUAAUACCGGAUGAUGUCGUAAGACCAAAGAUUUAUCGGCAAAGGAUGAACCCGCGUAGGAUUAGCUAGUUGGUGGGGUAAAGGCCUACCAAGGCGACGAUCCUUAGCUGGUCUGAGAGGAUGAUCAGCCACACUGGGACUGAGAUACGGCCCAGACUCCUACGGGAGGCAGCAGUGGGGAAUAUUGGACAAUGGGCGAAAGCCUGAUCCAGCAAUGCCGCGUGAGUGAUGAAGGCCUUAGGGUUGUAAAGCUCUUUUACCAGGGAUGAUAAUGACAGUACCUGGAGAAUAAGCUCCGGCUAACUCCGUGCCAGCCGCCGCAGUAA